UUCUCUUCUCAAUUACCUCAUUGACGUAUGUUUUACUGUCAGUUUGACAUGACAGAUUUACUCUAAACCAAUCCAUCACCUGCCUGCCAUCUGCAUCACGCCUUCAUUAGGAGCAUACUGAAAUCACCUGCGAGUAACCGAUUAAAAGCACCGAGGAGCAUGCAGCAACUCCUGCAUGCUGUAAUGACCAAAUCAUCCGUAGCAUGGCCUCGAACACGGUUGCAGGCUGCAGAGAGGAUGAUGAGGGAAA
Molecule: long non-coding RNA, 250 nt
Organism: Monopterus albus (swamp eel)
Lineage: Eukaryota; Metazoa; Chordata; Actinopteri; Synbranchiformes; Synbranchidae
Exons: 3
Source: RefSeq, a predicted model, not a curated record